GCUACCUGUGACAUAAUCUGCAUGGUGAUUGGCCUAGCAAAGUGUACGACUGCACAAACAUAUAUAAGAUGGGCAAAUUGCCGAAUAAAGUUGGAAUUGAACCUGCAUUCUGUGAAUGCGUAUGAUUCAUUCCCGUCACUCCCGCGGACCACGCCAACCCACGUCACACCCACGUUACCUUCAAAUCACCCACGUCACACACAGGUAACAUUCGAAUUUCGCACGUCACUCCCACGUCACCUUCGAAUCUCCCACGUCACACCCACGCCACACCCACGUCACGUUCGAAUCUCCCACGUCACACCCAUGUCACGUUCGAAUCUCCCACGUCACACCCACGUCACGUUUGAAUUUCCAUUUCACACCCACGUCAGUGCUUUGCUAGGCGAGGAAGCAACAUGCAGUGCUUUACUAGCUGGCUAGGCGGCGGAAGCACGCAUUGAUUUGGUAGGCAGUGAAGGGACUCAAUGCUUUGCCAGGCGGAGAGGGGAAAAGGGACACAGCGGUGUGCUAGGCGGCAAGGCGCCGGCGAAACAAUGCAGCAAGGGGACACAACGCUUUGCCUGGCAGUGACAGGACGGGGAGCUUUGCUAGGCAGUGAAGGGAAAAGACGCUUUGCUAGGCGGCAAGGCGGCGAAGUGACGAAGCGAUUUGGGAGGCAGCGAAGGGACACUGUGCUUUGGUACGUGUCAUUCGGCGAAGGGACAGGGCACUUUGCUAGGCGUCGAGGCGGCGAAGGCACACAGUGCUUUGCCAGGCGGCAAAGGGACACGGCACUUUGCUAGGCGGCAAGGUGACACGAUGCUUUGCAUCUGGGCGAGGAGGUGAAGGCACGCAGUGCUUUGCUAGGUGGCAAGGCUGCAAAGGGACACAUCGCUUUUCUAGGCGGCGAAGAAACACGGUGCUUUGCUAGGCCAUGAAGGCACGCAGUGCUCUGCUACGCGACGAGGGAG
This 953-nucleotide long non-coding RNA is filed under the name Apteryx haastii (Great spotted kiwi). RNAcentral's name for it is "lncRNA (ENSAHAG00000003450.1)". Lineage: Eukaryota; Metazoa; Chordata; Aves; Apterygiformes; Apterygidae. The record is from RNAcentral.